This 858-nucleotide ribosomal RNA is filed under the name Arthrobacter sp. 53-1TDS. RNAcentral describes it as "bacterial SSU rRNA". It matches the Rfam family "Bacterial small subunit ribosomal RNA", at positions 531 to 1386 of the family's 1533-position model. The record is from RNAcentral. Lineage: Bacteria; Bacillati; Actinomycetota; Actinomycetes; Micrococcales; Micrococcaceae.
GGCGCAAGCGUUAUCCGGAAUUAUUGGGCGUAAAGAGCUCGUAGGCGGUUUGUCGCGUCUGCCGUGAAAGUCCGGGGCUCAACUCCGGAUCUGCGGUGGGUACGGGCAGACUAGAGUGAUGUAGGGGAGACUGGAAUUCCUGGUGUAGCGGUGAAAUGCGCAGAUAUCAGGAGGAACACCGAUGGCGAAGGCAGGUCUCUGGGCAUUAACUGACGCUGAGGAGCGAAAGCAUGGGGAGCGAACAGGAUUAGAUACCCUGGUAGUCCAUGCCGUAAACGUUGGGCACUAGGUGUGGGGGACAUUCCACGUUUUCCGCGCCGUAGCUAACGCAUUAAGUGCCCCGCCUGGGGAGUACGGCCGCAAGGCUAAAACUCAAAGGAAUUGACGGGGGCCCGCACAAGCGGCGGAGCAUGCGGAUUAAUUCGAUGCAACGCGAAGAACCUUACCAAGGCUUGACAUGAACCGGAAAUACCUGGAAACAGGUGCCCCGCUUGCGGUCGGUUUACAGGUGGUGCAUGGUUGUCGUCAGCUCGUGUCGUGAGAUGUUGGGUUAAGUCCCGCAACGAGCGCAACCCUCGUUCUAUGUUGCCAGCGCGUUAUGGCGGGGACUCAUAGGAGACUGCCGGGGUCAACUCGGAGGAAGGUGGGGACGACGUCAAAUCAUCAUGCCCCUUAUGUCUUGGGCUUCACGCAUGCUACAAUGGCCGGUACAAAGGGUUGCGAUACUGUGAGGUGGAGCUAAUCCCAAAAAGCCGGUCUCAGUUCGGAUUGGGGUCUGCAACUCGACCCCAUGAAGUCGGAGUCGCUAGUAAUCGCAGAUCAGCAACGCUGCGGUGAAUACGUUCCCGGGCCUUGUAC